RNAcentral lists this long non-coding RNA (2181 nucleotides) under Malus domestica (apple). RNAcentral's name for it is "long non-coding RNA (MDOM_LNC012443)". Lineage: Eukaryota; Viridiplantae; Streptophyta; Magnoliopsida; Rosales; Rosaceae. The record is from RNAcentral.
AUUCGACUGCUUUUCGAAGAUUUUACAGAUUUACGAAUGUGAAGGGCGAUUUGGUUAUUUCAUGUUUAGAUAUAUUUUGUGGCUUGUUUUGUGAUCCAUGUGGGGCCCACACCCCACUCCUACCUUAUCCCGUGUCCUCUCUCUCCAAAAAUCUCAAUCUCUCUUUUUCAAACUCUCCCAUUUCUUUUAAACCCUUAGACCACUCUCUUGUUGACAGCUCACUAAGUUUAUUAUUUUAAAAUUCUUUAUUUCCCCUCGUUUUCUUCUUCUUCUUUGAAAAUAGCUUAAAAUACUAAAAUAACUACGAACUAACAACAUAAAUGCCAAGAAACAAGCUAACUAAGUCGCAUAAAUAUGCUCCUAUCAAAUUCCCCCACACUUAGCUUUUGCUAGUCCUCGAGCAAAACAAAACAAACAAAACAAAACACAACCUAUACCUUCCAACAAUUGCCUCAGGGAUUUUGAAUGAAACAUGACAUGUUAAAAAUCAUCAUUCCCACAGAUUUUGGUCAUCCUUACACCUGAGCACAUACUUAUAGUCACCACUUACUAGUUCACAAUUAACCAAUUAAAACGAUGUUUUGAAUGUAGUAACAUGCCUUAGAGAAUUUACUCAAUUCCUUACAAGAUACUCCCUAUUUUCACACACAUUUUCUGACUACACACCCUACACUAGUUAUAUGUGAGAAGAUUAAUGUAAACAUGAAAACGAACACUCACAUAUAUGUAUAACAAAGAGGGCAAUUUUCUGGAGUUAUUCAGCAUGUUAAGAUAUGAUCUCAUGAAUGGAAUGCUACUACUUAGAUGCAAGAACCAGUGACACCAUAUGCUCAAACCAAUUCCAAACUCCACAUAUUGAAACGCAUAACACUCAAGAUAAAGUUAAGGGUUGUAACGGGGUUUAAGGGUAAUGGCUAACAAAGAAAGGAUAAGGAUAACAAACGUUCUGAAAGCAAUAGCAAGCAAAGUAAUGAAAUAGACACUUGGAAUUCACUUAAUAAUGCAGAAAUUAACUUUUAAACACAAAGGGAAGAUUCAAGCAACACUUAGGGCCGAAUUCAAUGUUUUGGACCCUUUCUUCAACAAACAACACUUUAGAGCUCUUUUUUCACAUAUUUUUCAACUCUUUUUCACUCUUUUCACAACUUUUCUUCUUUUCAUUCUAUUUUCCACGAAUGUUUCUUUUUUUCCUUUUCUUUUCUACCCGUGCCUUAUUAAGGACUUUGGCACACACACACACACACACACACAAGAAUCACUUCCCUCACACUUGUUUUUCUGCAAAAGUUUAACAAAAGGAAUUCCUUCUAAAUUAUGUUUUACUAUGCUUCAAGAACAAGGGUAUGGAUGGUCCUAAUCUAGGCUAGGUGAGGAUAGUGUGGGUUAACAAAGAACAUAGGCUACAAAAGGCUCAACGGGGUUAAACUUAAACACAUAAUGAAAUAGGGCACGGCAAUUUGGCUGUGGUGGUCACUACACAACUUCAUCUUGAAUAUGUGUUAUGCAAAUCAAUAGCAUGUUUUGAAUGAAAUAGGCAUGAGUUCUAGCAUUUGGAACUAAAUGAUGAAACGCCUUCUAAGUAGCAACCAAGCAAAGAAUAAUGAGAUCAUGCAACGACUUUAGAAAACAAUAGUGCACAGAUUAUUAACUCUCCAAAUAAACGUUUAGGCUCAAGUCUCACAAGGUUGUAGCGUUCAUUUGAGUUCCUUCCUUCAAGCAUGUUACAAAAAUUGAUUUUUCCUUUAUGAUUGCAUGUGAAUUCAUAAAUUAUAACCACAACCAAGCAUACACCAAAGAGUAAAUCAAAUUGUCAUCCAUGUUUAUAACUCUCUUUAACAGUCAUGAAAUUAAAAACCAAAUCCUUAUCAUUGUGUUGGAAGGUACCCUAAGACACAAAUAAACACACAAAAACAACUCUUUUUGGGUUUUUCAAAAUAAUUUUUCAAAUUUUUAUGAGAUUUUUGGAUUUUUAUGUCAAAACACACUGAAACACUCUAAAACAGCUUAAAAACACUUAAAACAGCAAGGAACAACACUAGAAGUAAUGGGUGAUAAACUCCUACGAAUUUCAUUUUUAUGUCAAAACACACUAAAACACUCCAAAACAACUUAAAAACACUUAAAACAGCAAGGAACAACACUAGAAGUAAUGGGUGAUAAACUCCUACGAAUUUCAUUUUU